CUAACUAUAUUUUUAGGGAUCAUUUCUAUAGUUUUUUUACUUGAGAAAUGUGUUCUAAAAAGGUUGUUCUCACUAACCAUGUGGAGGACAUAUAGCAUUUCCUUCUGAGUGUGAAGUGGUUAUAAGUAUUGCUUUUUGCAAGAGCAUUUAGCCAUUGAUGAUUGAAAAAAAAGAACCUUCACCAGGUUCCAUGUUUUCAUGAUUGGA
Carcharodon carcharias (great white shark) is the source of this 207-nucleotide small nucleolar RNA. RefSeq annotates it as small nucleolar RNA U3. The transcript has a single exon. The record is from RefSeq and is a predicted model, not a curated record. NCBI's taxonomy places the organism in Eukaryota, Metazoa, Chordata, Chondrichthyes, Lamniformes, Lamnidae.